AACGAACGCUGGCGGUAUGCCUAACACAUGCAAGUCGAACGAACCCUUCGGGGUUAGUGGCGCACGGGUGCGUAACGCGUGGGAAUCUGCCCUUUGCUUCGGAAUAACUCAGGGAAACUUGUGCUAAUACCGGAUGAUGUCUUCGGACCAAAGAUUUAUCGGCAAGGGAUGAGCCCGCGUAGGAUUAGGUAGUUGGUGGGGUAAAGGCCUACCAAGCCGACGAUCCUUAGCUGGUCUGAGAGGAUGAUCAGCCACACUGGGACUGAGACACGGCCCAGACUCCUACGGGAGGCAGCAGUGGGGAAUAUUGGACAAUGGGCGCAAGCCUGAUCCAGCAAUGCCGCGUGAGUGAUGAAGGCCCUCGGGUCGUAAAGCUCUUUUACCAGGGAUGAUAAUGACAGUACCUGGAGAAUAAGCUCCGGCUAACUCCGUG
RNAcentral lists this ribosomal RNA (433 nucleotides) under uncultured bacterium. RNAcentral's name for it is "partial 16S ribosomal RNA". It matches the Rfam family "Bacterial small subunit ribosomal RNA", at positions 29 to 507 of the family's 1533-position model. The record is from RNAcentral.